UGGCCCCUCGUCUAAUGGUAGGACAGUAGACUCUGAAUCUAUACGUCGAGGUUCGACUCCUCGGGGGCCAGCCA
RNAcentral lists this transfer RNA (74 nucleotides) under hydrothermal vent metagenome. Its description in RNAcentral is "tRNA-Gln-CTG". It matches the Rfam family "tRNA". Rfam says of the family: Transfer RNA (tRNA) molecules are approximately 80 nucleotides in length. Their secondary structure includes four short double-helical elements and three loops (D, anti-codon, and T loops). The record is from RNAcentral.